ACAUCCAGAGAAUUUAGCAGAGAUGCUUUAGUGCCUUCGGGAACUCUGAGACAGGUGCUGCAUGGCUGUCGUCAGCUCAUGUUGUGAAAUGUUGGGUUAAGUCCGCAACGAGCGCAACCCUUAUCCUUUGUUGCCAGCACGUAAUGGUGGGAACUCAAAGGAGACUGCCGGUGAUAAACCGGAGGAAGGUGGGGAUGACGUCAAGUCAUCAUGGCCCUUACGAGUAGGGCUACACACGUGCUACAAUGGCGUAUACAAAGAGAAGCGACCUCGCGAGAGCAAGCGGACCUCAUAAAGUGCGUCGUAGUCCGGAUUGGAGUCUGCAACUCGACUCCAUGAAGUCGGAAUCGCUAGUAAUCGUAAAUCAGAAUGUUACGGUGAAUACGUUCCCGGGCCUUGUACACACCGCCCGUCACACCAUGGGAGUGGGUUGCAAAAGAAGUAGAUAGCUUAACCUUCGGGAGGGCGUUUACCACUUUGUGAUUCAUGACUGGGGUGAAGUCGUAACAAGGUAAGCGUAGUGCU
RNAcentral lists this ribosomal RNA (525 nucleotides) under uncultured bacterium. RNAcentral describes it as "bacterial SSU rRNA". It matches the Rfam family "Bacterial small subunit ribosomal RNA", at positions 984 to 1509 of the family's 1533-position model. The record is from RNAcentral.